RNAcentral lists this unclassified non-coding RNA (326 nucleotides) under Hevea brasiliensis (rubber tree). The record is from RNAcentral. Lineage: Eukaryota; Viridiplantae; Streptophyta; Magnoliopsida; Malpighiales; Euphorbiaceae.
GUUUAAUUGGUAGGCAUGCUGAUAUAUUUAUUGUGUUAUUGUUGCCGUUUCGAUUUUUUGAUGUCUCAUUUGAGUUGUUUCCUUAUUAGUUUUACAUGAAGUUAAGGGAAAAAGAGGUUUCCCUCAAUAGCAUUACCAUUUGGUAAAUGACCAUUGUAAUGUGAGUUAGAGAUUUAAAACUAUUCUCAGGUCUUCAUCUACAAAUUUGAGCUUUUAGUUUGAGUUAUUUCUUGACAUGGUAUUAGAGUCUUUUAGGCCAAAAGGUCCAGAAGCUGAAUUUUGGUCACUAUUAAUUAAAAAAUUUCAGCACAAGCACAAGGUAAAGC